UGCCUUACACAUGCAAGUCGAACGGCAGCACGGGUGCUUGCACCUGGUGGGCGAGUGGCGAACGGGUGAGUAAUACAUCGGAACAUGUCCUGUAGUGGGGGAUAGCCCGGCGAAAGCCGGAUUAAUACCGCAUACGAUCUACGGAUGAAAGCGGGGGACCUUCGGGCCUCGCGCUAUAGGGUUGGCCGAUGGCUGAUUAGCUAGUUGGUGGGGUAAAGGCCUACCAAGGCGACGAUCAGUAGCUGGUCUGAGAGGACGACCAGCCACACUGGGACUGAGACACGGCCCAGACUCCUACGGGAGGCAGCAGUGGGGAAUUUUGGACAAUGGGCGAAAGCCUGAUCCAGCAAUGCCGCGUGUGUGAAGAAGGCCUUCGGGUUGUAAAGCACUUUUGUCCGGAAAGAAAUCCUUGGUUCUAAUAUAGCCGGGGGAUGACGGUACCGGAAGAAUAAGCACCGGCUAACUACGUGCCAGCAGCCGCGGUAAUACGUAGGGUGCGAGCGUUAAUCGGAAUUACUGGGCGUAAAGCGUGCGCAGGCGGUUUGCUAAGACCGAUGUGAAAUCCCCGGGCUCAACCUGGGAACUGCAUUGGUGACUGGCAGGCUAGAGUAUGGCAGAGGGGGGUAGAAUUCCACGUGUAGCAGUGAAAUGCGUAGAAAUGUGGAGGAAUACCGAUGGCGAAGGCA
RNAcentral lists this ribosomal RNA (686 nucleotides) under uncultured beta proteobacterium. RNAcentral describes it as "bacterial SSU rRNA". It matches the Rfam family "Bacterial small subunit ribosomal RNA", at positions 45 to 723 of the family's 1533-position model. Lineage: Bacteria; Pseudomonadati; Pseudomonadota; Betaproteobacteria. The record is from RNAcentral.